CCUACGGGGGGCAGCAGUGGGGAAUCUUGCGCAAUGGCCGAAAGGCUGACGCAGCGACGCCGCGUGUGGGAUGACGGCCUUCGGGUUGUAAACCACUGUCGGAAGGGACGAAUGCCCCGCAAGGGGAGUGACGGUACCUUCAAAGGAAGCACCGGCUAACUCCGUGCCAGCAGCCGCGGUAAUACGGAGGGUGCGAGCGUUGUCCGGAAUCACUGGGCGUAAAGGGCGCGUAGGCGGCCCGGUAAGUAGGGGGUGAAAUCUUGCGGCUCAACCGCAAGGCUGCCUUCUAGACUGCCAGGCUCGAGCACAGUAGAGGCAGGUGGAAUUCCCGGUGUAGCGGUGGAAUGCGUAGAGAUCGGGAAGAACAUCAGUGGCGAAGGCGGCCUGCUGGGCUGUUGCUGACGCUGAGGCGCGACAGCGUGGGGAGCAAACAGGAUUAGAUACCCUAGUAGUC
RNAcentral lists this ribosomal RNA (454 nucleotides) under uncultured bacterium. RNAcentral's name for it is "bacterial SSU rRNA". It matches the Rfam family "Bacterial small subunit ribosomal RNA", at positions 338 to 795 of the family's 1533-position model. The record is from RNAcentral.